Molecule: ribosomal RNA, 253 nt
Filed under: uncultured bacterium
Lineage: Bacteria
Description: partial 16S ribosomal RNA
Rfam family: Bacterial small subunit ribosomal RNA
Source: RNAcentral
UAAGGAGGGUGCGAGCGUUAAUCGGAAUUACUGGGCGUAAAGCGCACGCAGGCGGUUGGAUAAGUUAGAUGUGAAGGCCCCGGGCUCAACCUGGGAAUUGCAUUUAAAACUGUCCGGCUAGAGUCUUGUAGAGGGGGGUAGAAUUCCAGGUGUAGCGGUGAAAUGCGUAGAGAUCUGGAGGAAUACCGGUGGCGAAGGCGGCCCCCUGGACAAAGACUGACGCUCAGGUGCGAAAGCGUGGGGAGCAAACAGG